This 471-nucleotide ribosomal RNA is filed under the name uncultured soil bacterium. RNAcentral describes it as "bacterial SSU rRNA". It matches the Rfam family "Bacterial small subunit ribosomal RNA", at positions 26 to 518 of the family's 1533-position model. The record is from RNAcentral.
AGAACGAACGCUGGCGGCAUGCCUAAUACAUGCAAGUCGAACGAACUCUUCGGAGUUAGUGGCGCACGGGUGCGUAACGCGUGGGAAUCUGCCCCUUGGUUCGGAAUAACAGUUGGAAACGACUGCUAAUACCGGAUGAUGACGAAAGUCCAAAGAUUUAUCGCCAAGGGAUGAGCCCGCGUAGGAUUAGCUAGUUGGUGAGGUAAAGGCUCACCAAGGCAACGAUCCUUAGCUGGUCUGAGAGGAUGAUCAGCCACACUGGGACUGAGACACGGCCCAGACUCCUACGGGAGGCAGCAAGUAGGGAAUAUUGGACAAAUGGGCGAAAAGCCUGAAUCCAAGCAAAUGCCGCGUGAAGUGAUCGAAGGCCUUAAGGUUGUAAAAGCUCUUUUAACCCGAGAUGAAUAAUAGACAAGUAUCGGGAAGAAAUAAACGACCCCGGACUAAACCUCCGUGCCAAGCCAAGCCCGC